GGAUGUGAGGGCAAUCAGACUGCAAUAUCUGUCACUCCAUUGAUCACUAGGGUUAAUUCGACUGAUCUGGCUCGCUAGGCGGGUGUCCCCUUCCUCCUUCACUGCUCCAAGUGCGUCCCUCCCGAAGCUGCAUGCUCAGAGGACGACCGUCCCUGCUAGAGGAGGACCGGUCUUCGGUCAAGGAUAUACGAGUAGCUGCAUUCCCCUGCUAGAACCUCCAAAUAAGCUAACGGUCUGGGAAAGCAGUGGAGGACGGCUCAAGUCCUU
Molecule: small nuclear RNA, 267 nt
Filed under: Ochotona princeps (American pika)
Lineage: Eukaryota; Metazoa; Chordata; Mammalia; Lagomorpha; Ochotonidae
Description: 7SK RNA (ENSOPRG00000020465.1)
Rfam family: 7SK RNA
About the family: 7SK was discovered as an abundant small nuclear RNA in the mid-70s but a possible function has only recently been suggested. Two independent studies have found that 7SK RNA binds the CDK9/cyclin T complex (known as elongation factor P-TEFb).
Source: RNAcentral